RNAcentral lists this ribosomal RNA (429 nucleotides) under Chloroflexota bacterium. Its description in RNAcentral is "Chloroflexi bacterium partial 16S ribosomal RNA". It matches the Rfam family "Bacterial small subunit ribosomal RNA", at positions 355 to 776 of the family's 1533-position model. The record is from RNAcentral. Lineage: Bacteria; Bacillati; Chloroflexota.
UGGGUAAUAUUGCACAAUGGGCGCAAGCCUGAUGCAGCCAUGCCGCGUGUAUGAAGAAGGCCUUCUGGUUGCAAAGUACUUUCAGCUGGGAGGAAGGGAGUACAGUUAAUACCUUUGCUCAUUGACGUUACCCGCAGAAGAAGCACCGGCUAACUCCGUGCCAGCAGCCGCGGUAAUACGGAGGGUGCAAGCGUUAAUCGGAAUUACUGGGCGUAAAGCGCACGCAGGCGGUUUGUUAAGUCAGAUGUGAAAUCCUCGGGCUCGACCCGGGAACUGCAUCUGAUAAUGGCAAGCUUGAGUCUCGUAGAGGGGGGGAGAAUUCCAGGUGUAGGGGUGAAAUGCGUUGAGAUCUGGAGGAAUACCGGUGGCGAAGGCGGACCCCUGGACGAAGACUGACGCUCAGGUGCGAAAGCGUGGGGAGCAAACAGG